AAGACCAUAUCCUUGGCCUUCUCUCUGUAGAUCUAUGUAAUGAAUUUCUUUACUUCUAGGACAGCUCAUUACUUGUAGGACUGAUAUAUGUGUAUUUCUUCCUUUAUAACAAAACAUGCCGAAGCUCCCUAGAGACCUUAGCUAAUUGCAUCUUUCAAACAUAGUUUUCUGAUGUCACCUUGUGUUUAUCAGCAACUUUAAAAAUCUUUUGAAGGAGAUAGUUGGAGUUUAUCUGUGUGAAAUUUACAAUAGUUAAGUGACAGGGGAGAGCAUUUCCUAACUAGAAAGAGUACAUUCUAGUUAAUGAGUAGGGACCUUGAAAUCUUCUGUACUUUUCCACAACUGAAGGGGUGCAUAUUUUUGGUUGGAAGUGAGUAGGCGAAAUUUAGUCCUGCUGUUCUGGUAGUCUUGAUGGCUUAGAAAUCUCUUUAUUGUAGUUUCAUAAUCCCUGACAUGACUGUCCAGCUCUCGUGUCUGCUAAAUACAGAAAUAGAGGAAGGAAAUGUAUGUUUUGGCUCCUUUAAAAUGGAGCUUAUCAGACUCUAUGUAGGAGGAGUAGACUUUGUUGAAGAUGCGUCUAUUUGCCAGCUGGUUAGCAUGUGCACGGGGCGAGUUUCCUGUCUGCUAAAGCUGUGUGCUGCCCUUCAGUGAUGGGAAGGAGCACAUUAUUAAAUGGGUCGUAGUGUUUUCACUUGUGAAAAUCAGGGUGCAGAGGGCAUGCAAACUUUGCCCAGAGGCUG
Molecule: long non-coding RNA, 740 nt
Filed under: Bos taurus (domestic cattle)
Lineage: Eukaryota; Metazoa; Chordata; Mammalia; Artiodactyla; Bovidae
Description: long non-coding RNA NONBTAT006342
Source: RNAcentral